This 934-nucleotide ribosomal RNA is filed under the name uncultured archaeon. RNAcentral's name for it is "bacterial SSU rRNA". It matches the Rfam family "Archaeal small subunit ribosomal RNA", at positions 1 to 922 of the family's 1478-position model. The record is from RNAcentral.
UCCGGUUGAUCCUGCCGGACCUGACUGCUAUCGGGAUGAGGCUAAGCCAUGGAAGUCGACGUGCGCCCUUGCGCACGUGGCGUACGGCUCAGUAACGCGUGGCUAACCUGCCCUCGUGACGGGGAUAACCUCGGGAAACUGAGGAUAAUCCCCGAUAGGCGAGCGGCUUUGGAAGAACCGCUCACCGAAAGGGACGGAGGAAAUGGCCUUCGUCCGCGCGAGGAUGGGGCUGCGUCCCAUCAGGCAGCUGGUGGGGUAAUGGCCCACCAAACCUAUAACGGGUACGGGCCGUGAGAGCGGGAGCCCGGAGAUGGGCACUGAGACAAGGGCCCAGGCUCUACGGAGCGCACCAAGCGCGAAACCUUCGCAAUGCGGGAAACCGUGACGGGGCCAUCCCGAGUGCAGGCUGCUGAGGUCUGCUUUUGCCCAGUGUAAGAAGCUGGGCGAAUAAGUGGGGGGCAAGACUGGUGUCAGCCGCCGCGGUAAUACCAGCUCCACGAGUGGUCAGGACGGUUAUUGGGCCUAAAGCGUCCGUAGCCGGCCCGGUAAGUUUAUGGUGAAAUCCGGCAUCUCAAGUGUCGGAGCGCUGUAAAUACUGCCGGGCUAGGGAGCGGGAGAGGCCGAGGGUACCUCCGGGGUAGGGGCGAAAUCCUAUAAUCCCGGAGUGACGACCAGUGGCGAAAGCGCUCGGCUAGAACGCGUCCGACGGUGAGGGACGAAAGCUGGGGUAGCAAACCGGAUUAGAUACCCGGGUAGUCCCAGCCGUAAACUAUGCGGGCUAGUUGUCGGAACGGCUUAGGGCCGCUCCGGUAACGCAGGGAAGCCAUUAAGCCCGCCGCCUGGGGAGUACGACCGCAAGGUUGAAACUUAAAGGAAUUGGCGGGGGAGCACCACAAGGGGUGAAGCUUGCGGCUCAAUUGGAGUCAACGCCGGG